This 492-nucleotide long non-coding RNA is filed under the name Phascolarctos cinereus (koala). Its description in RNAcentral is "lncRNA (ENSPCIG00000016202.2)". The record is from RNAcentral. Lineage: Eukaryota; Metazoa; Chordata; Mammalia; Diprotodontia; Phascolarctidae.
UCUGGAUAAAUGUGAUUGGAUAUGAAGUAAUCACUAUUGAAAUAAAUCAUUCACAGGGUAGUGCUUGGUAGAAGCAUUGAGCAAUUUGAACACCACAGCUACACACUACAACCCUAAAGAAAGAAGCAUUGAUUAUGGGAUAUUUCAGAUCAAUAGUCACUACUGGUGUGAUGAUGGCAAGACACCAAAGGCACACCUAUUCAAGGUGUGGAGUCAAUUGCUCAGAACUUCUGGAAGAUGACCUUCUUAAAGCAGUAAACUGUGCAGCGAAGGUUGGAGGUCCACAAGGUUUUCUGGCACGCCCCACUCUGAAGUGUAGCAGGACAUGAAUUUCACCUGAGAAUGUAAUAUCUGCAAAUCCUCUGGGUUAAAAAUCCUCCAUCAUUCUGUUUUUGUGGCCAGGAGUCAUCUCCAUGGCUUGAAGGACAACAACAAUUCAUGGAUGGAAUAAUGGGCAGAAGCACAAGUGAUCUAAAAUUUUCAUCAAAAGGG